RNAcentral lists this ribosomal RNA (245 nucleotides) under uncultured Oscillibacter sp. RNAcentral's name for it is "partial 16S ribosomal RNA". It matches the Rfam family "Bacterial small subunit ribosomal RNA", at positions 524 to 768 of the family's 1533-position model. The record is from RNAcentral. Lineage: Bacteria; Bacillati; Bacillota; Clostridia; Eubacteriales; Oscillospiraceae.
UACGUAGGUGGCAAGCGUUAUCCGGAAUUACUGGGUGUAAAGGGUGAGUAGGCGGGAAGGCAAGUCAGAUGUGAAAUGCAGGGGCCCAACCCCUGAACUGCAUUUGAAACUGUUUUUCUUGAGAGUCGGAGGGGUAAUCGGAAUUCCCAGUGUAGCGGUGAAAUGCGCAGAGAUUGGGAGGAACACCAGUGGCGAAGGCGGAUUACUGGACGACAACUGACGCUGAUACACGAAAGCGUGGGGAG